AGCGAACGUUAGCGGCGCGCCUAACACAUGCAAGUCGAGCGUGAAAGGGAGCAAUCCUGAGUAAAGCGGCGGACGGGUGCGUAACACGUAGAUAACCUGCCCUUUGGAGGGGGAUAACGUUCCGAAAGGAACGCUAAUACCGCGUACAGCAAUCGGUGGUUCGCCACUGGUUGGCAAAGACUGGGAUUCGCAAGAACCAGUCGCCAAAGGAGGGGUCUGCGGCCCAUCAGCUAGUUGGCGAGGUAAUGGCUCACCAAGGCAAAGACGGGUAGCUGGUCUGAGAGGAUGAUCAGCCACACUGAUACUGGAACACGGACCAGACUCCUACGGGAGGCAGCAGUGGGGAAUCUUGGUCAAUGGGCGCAAGCCUGAACCAGCGACGCCGCGUGAGUGAUGAAGGCCUUCGGGUUGUAAAGCUCUGUGGGGAGGGACGAAAGAGCACGUUCUAACAGGACGUGUGUUGACGGUACCUCCUUAGCAAGCACCGGCUAACUCUGUGCCAGCCGCCGCAGUAA
This 515-nucleotide ribosomal RNA is filed under the name uncultured bacterium. RNAcentral's name for it is "partial 16S ribosomal RNA". It matches the Rfam family "Bacterial small subunit ribosomal RNA", at positions 29 to 523 of the family's 1533-position model. The record is from RNAcentral.